CAUCCAUGGACCAUCUUCUAUUGUGGUUAAGUGAGUGCAAUGAACUUCAGAUCUGCACAUUCAGCGUCCUGACUCUUGAUUGUGGAAUUGCAAGCUGUUCACAUUGUUUUGGGUUUUUGGCUGCUCUACUUCCAUCAUCUCAGGUAUGGGAACAUCACGGAACAUGAAACUGCGGGUGGUCUUAUAAUUAAAUGCAGUUAGUCCAUGUGAAGAUAUCCAUCUCAUGUGAGUACAUUUAUAUUUUCUACCCCAGGUGUUAUUGCUUUGUCAUCUGUUGCCACACACCAGUUUAAUAAUGGAAUUGAAUCAGGUAGUGGAAUGGAAUGAAAUUAUUAAUAUUAUUUUUCAUAAUAAUUUAUUCUGGAUAUGAACUGAUUAAGAAGUUUGAUGUUUGUGUGCUAAUUGCAAGAAUUAAGUUGGCCCAUUGAAGGCAAUCAAAAAUUCAAGGAAAAAAAAAAUGGUAAUAAAUGAUAAUGAUAAUUCCUGCACUGACUGAUUCCAGACAACUUGCUUUGUUGAAGGUGUUUAGCAAGGUGUUAAAUAACAUCAUCUUCACCAUCAUUUGAUCUGCCUUCAUAGCAGUUCCCUUUGGUAGUGUUACCAUACCCUGCUUCCACAUAGGAAUAAUGGUUUGAAAUAAGAUUUGUUAUUAAUUUAUUUAUGAUGGUGUUUAGUAGUUUAGCUACAGAGGUCACUGAAUACAUAAAGAAAUGACCUUGGACAAAUCUUGGGAAAUGUGAUGUUAAGCCAGAUGAAAUUUUGUGUUCCAACCACAUGAGGGCAGUGUUGCGUUAUUUUUCAUUGGCAGUUUGAGUAGAUAUAAUACAGUAGAGUCAGUUUCUUAAAAAAGAAAAAAGAAAUGUCAGUGGACAAUUAAAUGUGACAGAGGCAGAUUAUAGCCCAAGGGCUAAUUCACAUCCGCAGUCUGCAGGAGUUUAUGUUACAAUCUUGAAAAAUUAUAAAAUGCAAAGGGACAGGUUGACAAACACACUUCAAAUAUAAUCACAACUACUACAGAUAACUAAUACACAACACAUUACUUGUGACAAAUUGUGACAGAGACAAAUAAGAUAAGAGAGAAGGAAAGGUACAUUUCCAUUGGUACAUAAAACUUUAUAUAUAAAAAAAAGUUAGGAGCUAAGAUUGCUGAUCAUUUGGAAAAAGUGAACAUAUGUUAGAAAGGAAAAGACAACUCUCAAAAGUAAAUAAAUCAACGAUUUUUUCAUAUAAUAUUAUAGUGGUUAUAGGUAUAUGUUUUUUUUUUUUAAUCCAAAACUUUUAGGGUUUGUAUACAAUAUAUCAUGGACAGUGUUGCUGUGUUUGCUUGAGACCAGGUUGUCAAACAAUAUAAAAUAGAAUGAAAAUACUAUUUGGCUGCCUCUGUAGUCAUUUGACAUGUAAUGAACUUAAAAUUGAUAAGAUUCGGUUUCACUAACUCAAUGCACUAUGUAUUUAAAAGAUUACGUUUAAGUCAAUAAUGGCCCCUAAGAAUUUGAAAUCUUUGUGAAAUAUCAUUUGAAAUAUCACGUCUUCAUCCUAACAAUUAUCUCAGGCUGCUGGGUAUUACUGGGUAUUACAAGUGAAGUACAUGCAAACAGUUUUUGUGAUACUUAAAGUUAAGCAGGAAUAGUCCAACCAGUCAAAGAUUUUGUUCAUAGCGCAUGUACGUUUGUAUCAUUUAUGUAUAUACUGAACAAAAAGGGGCCGAGGAUUGAACCUUGGGGCAACCCUCUGUAGAACAGACAUUAUUUGUGGAGAGCUUGCCUUUGACUGUGGUACAGUGUUUCCUGUUAGACAAAUAUGAUGUAAUCCACUUGAUCGUGCAUGGUGAAACAAUAUGUGUAGAUCAUUCGUAAACAAAAAUACUAUGAUAAACUGUGCCACAUGCUUUCUUCAAAUCAAGAAUCUUGUAUUGAACAGUGAAGAGCUAAAUGGUAACUCUUAAUAGAUGCGAACCAACAGGCACCUACACACACAGACCCAUUUGUAUUUGAAUGUGCACAUAUAUGUAGAUUACAAUGGGAAUGUUCUUUUUAUACAAUGUUAUAUGGGGA
Clupea harengus (Atlantic herring) is the source of this 2054-nucleotide long non-coding RNA. NCBI's taxonomy places the organism in Eukaryota, Metazoa, Chordata, Actinopteri, Clupeiformes, Clupeidae. The record is from Ensembl.